CUUUAUGAGUGUCUGAUGCAUUUGGCAAGUUAGCCGCAAUGGUUUGCUGCAUCACAAGGAGCAGUCGGAGGAAUAACUAUUCUUGAAUGAUUAUAAUUUAGUGCAAACUCAUUCUUUGUAUGUUCCACUAAACAUAAAAAAUAAUUAGUAUCUAAGAUUAAUAACAAUGUUAAACUGGCCAACAUAAUUAUCACUUUCCGAACACAAAUUAAUAAACCUCUUAAUCUUUUCCACUUCCAGUUCUUCAACUCAUCGGUACAUGCAAUACGGAGAGAGAGAUUGUUGCACAUGUUAAGAAGGAAAUAGAUUUUACCAAAUCAUUGAGUCCAUUUGAAUACAGAAGAACCAAUUUUUCUGUAACUUUUCUUCUCCUUGUUUCACAAACUUAUUUGACCACAAAGCUCACCAUACGUCUUCGCUUCUGAUUCCCAUAAUGUUGGCCAAUAGGUUCGUAUGUGAAUUUCCUUUCAGCCACAAUUUGAUUGUAGCCUUCAAACAACUCUGCUAAAUGCAAAAUAGAUAGUCAAAGAAUAGUGAUUUCCUGCAAAAGAAAUUUAACGACAAAAUCCUGUCCCAGACAGGAAAGAGAGAAAACUGUAAGUUUUAACUUUAUGUGGCAACAUAGAGACAUCCUCUGUAAUCUCUUAAACAUAACAUGGAAAUACAGCUAAUAUGAAAAAUUGAACUUAUUUUCCUUUCAUUCAUAUCAUGUAACAGAACCAAGUGUCAUUAACUCAUAAUUGUAAUAUGACAAAUCAGGUGAUACUUGACAUGUAUGUAUAGUACUGAGUAAGCCAAGAGGAAAUUCGUUAGUGCUAAAUUGAACAAUAUUCAAUAAGCUUUCUCACCUUUAAGGAGUUUUACAUCCAUAGAACUCUAAUGUCCACAGCCACAAAUAUUGAAUAGUAUAAGCAACUGGUUACAUGUAAUUAUCACUUAUAAAGGUUCUGUUUUUUGCUCAAAUGGUUACUUUUAGACCAUAGCUCAUGCCUUGAACAAAUUCAAAUAUCAAUUCAUGUCAAGCACAUACAUCAUACAAAAAGGAAAUUAUUCAUGUACAGAUAGGUCAUGUCUUACUACAGAAAUCUUCUUUAAAUCUCCAACAGAAACAUUCAAGGUUUCAUCUUUGAUAAGGUAGAACAUUUAAGGUUUCGACCUCUAAGCAAAAUUUUGACAGAAAAAAAAAAGCUUAGAAAAAUAUUUUGUUACCUCCUUCUGUAGUAAUGCCAAGAAAUGCUUAAAACGUUAAAGCUCCCGUAGUACAUUAUUCCUCUAACAAAAAAGAAUAUAGACUAACUAUAGAUAAUCAAUAGAAAAGCUUUCAUUUCUCUAACUGAAAAGAAUAUACACUAACUAUAAAUAAUCAAUAGACAAGAUUUCAAGUAUAAAAGAAUAUAACAGAAAAAGUCUCUCAAGUUGCCUAUUCUGUGGAGAGCUUGUUAGUCGAAAAACUAUCAAUCUUGUUUAGACAAACAACAAAUUUAACAUCUAACCUUGUGUAGAAACGAAAAAAGAAUUUCCCGUCACGAGAGCAAUUACUCCAUCAACUCAUGAAAAAUGCUGUGACGUUCUUGUCAACAAGAUUAUCGUUCUUUAGCUUGCCAGAAAAGUAUGUGUUUGAAAUCAGGGGAAUAAGUUUUUAGCAUUAAAUUCACUAUACUUAGCAUAAGGGCAGUAGAAAACACGAGUUCAUAGUUGUACAAUCCAUUGUCAUUUGAUGUCAUACCAACUUAAAAAAUUACAAAUGCACAAAACACCUAUACACACGUUCAAGUGCAAAGUUUUGCAGAAUAAAUUCAUUCUAAGUAUCUCCUUUGAAACUUAUCCCUACAAUAUUGGUUAAUGUACAUAAAUAUUACAAGCUAUAUUCACUAUAAUGUUUGAUAAUCUAUCCUACCAUACUAACUGUGAUGUUUAAUUGUUUAUUGUGUAUAUGUUUUGACGAUGCCAAACCAGAUAGCAUGUAGGAAAGAGUUCACAUGGGAGAAACUAAAUAUCCACGGAGAGAGGGGGGGAGGGAGGGAGGGAGGGAGAGAUUUGGUCGUCCUUAAUCUUUUGUGCACUCUCACAACUGGAAGGCUACAAUGUUACCAUCUUUCAUUAGACUAUGUCAAGAACUAACCUGAAAUAUGAAGUCAUGGAAAAUCUUCAUACCUCCUUUUUUUCAAGAAGGUAACAUAAAUUUUUAUGGCUCGUUUGUGGAACUGAUUAUAAAUUUGUGAUCCUAAGUGUAUUCGCAGAUAAGCAAUAAAGGCCUUUAUAGAAAAGCUACUGUAAUUUAUUGCUAAGCAUCUCAUUCGACUGCCUAAUUUUCUUGCAUUGACUGUAGAAGUUGAACUAAUUGAUGAACUAUACAUCAAUUUGCAUAGUUACUUAUAGGAACAUUUUUAACCAAGUUCUCUUCAUUGUGAUUUUCAAGCUGCUAAAGAUUACUGAUAAUUUCAGGCUUAAAUACCGUACAUAGACAUUACACUGCAUAAAACUGAGACUAAGAUUUUCUGCAAGCUUAUCAUACAAUCAUCUCAUAUUGCUGAUCCUAACAAAGAUCAAUUGUGAUGGAUCUGACAAAUACUAAUAUUUUGUGGAGCGAAGUUGACUAACCUUCCAUGGUGCCAGCAAUCCUAUGAAGGCUGGAAACCUUCAAUCACAAAUUAAGAACACCUGAAUCAUCACUUAGGGCAUUGGUUAUUUCAGCUGAUCCCUCUGUCAUAUUUGAAAAUAAUCAAAAUAAGAUUUGUGAACUCCAUUACACCAAAUAAAAUGAGUUAGACAUAUCAUCAAACACUUUGGAUGCAUAAUCUACUUCAACAACUACAGUAUUAUUUAUGUUCACAUUAAACAAAAACAAAGCAAUGAAUACAAGUGGCUGAAAAAUAUUAAAAUAUGCAGGUGUGAUAUUGUCUUAUGUUUUUUUCCUUUAGAAGAGAUUGGAACACAAGCCGGUGAAGCAUAUACAUCAGGCAUAUAUUCGACGGGGCGGUUCGAGAAAUUUUGGAAGAAAACAAAUUUUAGAAAAAUGAACGGAAAGAGGCAUGUAAUUAUAGCGGAGAUCGAAACAAACCUUAGGUGGGCUAGCUUUGCAAACAAAAUUCAUACUUUUGCUACUUUAGAUUUUUGAUGAGACAAUUUAAUUUUGGAGUAGCUAAUUUGUACUAAAAGAGAAUUAAUCAAAAAACAUCAGGAAAUAAUUACCCAAAAUCAUACAUCGGCAUUCAUCAAGGUAUACAGUUUUAGGCAUGCAUGUGAAGAUUAAAUACAAUUAUUAAGACUCAUAUAAAUUGUAGAAUAUAGCACGAAAUUACCAACAAAAGGGCAACACGCAAAGAUAGACUGGGGAACUUACCAGAACUGAGAGCUGAAACUAACAUAUAUCCAAAAAAGUGCAAUGAACGAAGAAAAUUGCAGAAACACUCACCAUCAAAGAGAUAUAGAAUUUUUUUAAAAAUUACUCCUACCAAGUAGUGAAAGAGAGAGGAAGAAGAGAACUGGAAAAAGGACGUAAUGCGCUUAGAUGACCAGACUAUUAAGUGGGAUGGAAAAGAAUAGUUUCUACACGUGUUUAUAAAGUAGUACACGCCUCACAGAAUAGUAGGAGUAAAUUCUUGGAUAACAGCAAAAUUACAAUAUUACCCUAAAAAACUCCACAAUUUUGAAAAUACAAUUCUUAUUGCUUAUUGUACAACCACAUAUUGCAGUGUUCGUACACUUCUUCACAUUUAUAUAUAGUAGUAGUAACUAUGCUCCGUCCCAUAUUACUUGUUCCCUUUUCUUCUUACACGUCCCUUAAAAAAGCUUCUUCACUUUUCUUUUUAC
Molecule: long non-coding RNA, 3813 nt
Filed under: Nicotiana tabacum (common tobacco)
Lineage: Eukaryota; Viridiplantae; Streptophyta; Magnoliopsida; Solanales; Solanaceae
Description: long non-coding RNA (NTAB_LNC009856)
Source: RNAcentral